This 445-nucleotide ribosomal RNA is filed under the name uncultured bacterium. RNAcentral describes it as "bacterial SSU rRNA". It matches the Rfam family "Bacterial small subunit ribosomal RNA", at positions 330 to 792 of the family's 1533-position model. The record is from RNAcentral.
UCCAGACUCCUACGGGAGGCAGCAGUGGGGAAUAUUGCACAAUGGGGGAAACCCUGAUGCAGCGACGCCGCGUGAGCGAUGAAGUAUUUCGGUAUGUAAAGCUCUAUCAGCAGGGAAGAAGAUGACGGUACCUGACUAAGAAGCCCCGGCUAACUACGUGCCAGCAGCCGCGGUAAUACGUAGGGGGCAAGCGUUAUCCGGAUUCACUGGGUAUAAAGGGAGCGUAGACGGCCAUGCAAGCCUGGAGUGAAAGCCCGGGGCCCAACCCCGGGACUGCUCUGGGAACUGUGCGGCUGGAGUGCGGGAGGGGCAGGCGGAAUUCCUGGUGUAGCGGUGAAAUGCGUAGAUAUCAGGAGGAACACCGGCGGCGAAGGCGGCCUGCUGGACCGCGACUGACGUUGAGGCUCGAAAGCGUGGGGAGCAAACAGGAUUAGAUACCCGAGUA